ACAAUCUAAAGAAUAAUUGAUUGAUAAAAAAGACAAAACAUAACCAGAUAUUUGUUUUAAUGAUCACCUUCACCGCCAAGAAGGAGAUGGUAGCGAAUAGAAUCGAUAAUCAACUCUCUACAGAACUCGUUUCCUACGAUAAGUUCGUUGUCUAAAAUAUCAAUCAAAUAUCGUCUAGUGAUUUGUGAGAAACGGACAUAUUUCAUCAGAUCUUCUAAAAACAAGAUUCUUUUAUUUUGAUCAAAUUUUACCCAACGAAUGAUUGCAGUUACCAAGUCAUUCUCAUUCAAGAUCCUUAAUUCGUCUGAUUUCAGAAAUUUCAACAGUCGCUCUGCGGUCAAAUCUAAAAAUUCGUCAUAUUGGGCAAUGUGUAAGAAGUUGGUUUUAACGAAGCUCUCGAUUUUUGCUACAAUUGUCUCAUUUCUAGGAAUGACUUCGGCCAAUUUCCAUAUUCCAAGACAGUUGGCUUCGUCAAGAUUACUCAACAAAUAUUCCAUGCAUAAUUUUUGCACCUUGGUGAACUGCAACAUGCCACUCGCAACGAGCAACUGUUGCACGUUGUCGUGUGUUAUUGUUACUGUUGCUCUGUAACAAAACUCUAUGAGCUGCUCAAGAGCUAUGGAAUCGACAUCCCUGAUUGUGAUAUGAGUUUCCUGACAUUCUUUCAUGUCAGCCAGAAACAUAGCGCGAAAAUACGAGCUUGCUGAGGCUAAGACAAGCUUAUGACAUGUAAACUGCUUGUUGUCGUCCGUGCAAAUCACAACAUCGGUGAAUACAGAUUCUCUACGGAAAUCCGUCAUAAUUUUGAAUGCAUCAGUCAAAGCAAUUUUGUCGUUGAAUUCGUAUGAACCUUUCCCAUAUUUUGAUGAUGAAUCCAUUUUCCUUAACUUUAUCUCUCAAAGGAUUUUGAUGAAGACUCGUCAUUACAUUACCUAGUUUCCGAGCGAAAGAAGUUUAGCUAGUUUUGUGCUGGUGAUUGAUAAGCAUGAUUAAACACUCUCGCGUUAUAACUUCGUGCCAAACAUACAAUCUUUACAAUGUCAUAAAACGUUCACUACAAUGUGUACUACAAGAAAUUUUAUAUCAGUCAAAAGUGUUUUAGACUAACAAUUUUCACUUAAAUCUACUGUGUUCAUAUCCCAGAAAUGAUUAAUGAUGUGAAUAAUAUGACUAUUUCAGGAAGUGAA
This is a long non-coding RNA of Xenia sp. Carnegie-2017, 1187 nucleotides long. RefSeq lists it as uncharacterized. The transcript is spliced from 2 exons. The record is from RefSeq and is a predicted model, not a curated record. Lineage: Eukaryota; Metazoa; Cnidaria; Anthozoa; Malacalcyonacea; Xeniidae.